Molecule: small nuclear RNA, 158 nt
Organism: Oryctolagus cuniculus (rabbit)
Lineage: Eukaryota; Metazoa; Chordata; Mammalia; Lagomorpha; Leporidae
Gene: U2
Rfam family: U2 spliceosomal RNA
About the family: U2 is a small nuclear RNA (snRNA) component of the spliceosome (involved in pre-mRNA splicing). Complementary binding between U2 snRNA (in an area lying towards the 5' end but 3' to hairpin I) and the branchpoint sequence (BPS) of the intron results the bulging out of an unpaired adenosine, on the BPS, which initiates a nucleophilic attack at the intronic 5' splice site, thus starting the first of two transesterification reactions that mediate splicing.
Source: Ensembl
AUCGCUUCUCUGCCUUUUGGCUAAGAUCAAGUGUAGUAUCUCUUGCACAUUGCACAUUUUAGAAUCUUUUUAUUUAUUUAUUUUUACAGACAAAGUGGACAGUGAGAGAGAGAGAGAGACAGAGAGAAAGGUCUUCCUUUUCUGUUGACUCACCCCCC